CUUAACGCUACUUCAUCACGGCGGCUACGGAGGGUUGUACGGUUGUUCUUUGUGCAUAGUUGUGUCCUUAUUUUCGGUACUCAUCGCGUUUGUGACUGGCGAUGGUGGGACAUAGGUGCUGCUUUAUUCAUUGUAAGAACAAGAGGGAAAACACGACGGGUGUGUCGUUUUUUGGGUUUCCGAAAUCCGAACGCCAAAGACAGUUGUGGUUAACGAGAGUUCAUCGUCCUGGAUGGAGGCUCUACAAGUCAAGUAUACUCUGUUCUGAACACUUCACAGCAGAUUGCUUUCAAGAGGCAGACAGACUGCAACAAGAGUUUGGAAUAAUUCGUCCUGGAAAGAGACCGCGGCACACACUGAAACCUGAUGCAGUUCCUUCAGUUUUCAUUGAUCCUGAGGAUGUUGUCGAAGCGCCAUUAAGUUCUUCGCACGUUAAAAGCGUAAGCCCCGCAGAGACUACGGAGCUUUCGCCAAGCUGUAGGUUUACAGUUUUCUAUCAAAGCGUGUGUUGUGUGCAGGACCGGGACGAUGAAGUACGGUUCCUUCCUUUUCGAGAGACAACAGAAGCACCUGCUGUACGAAAUGCAGCUACCCAAACAGAUGAACGAAAAAGCCACACUGUACCGGGAGUGGGAACACAGACACAUACGUCUGCACCGAGGGCCCGCGCCGUACGGCGAUAGUGAAAGUACCGGUGUCACCAGGCUGUCCAUGUCCCGUGCCAUCCCUGCGUUCUCAGAGCUCUCUGCCGCGUAAAUCACCAGAAGAAGACAGCGUACUAUCCAGUCCUGCCAAACACCCAGACCAUCAAGUCGUAUCAUCGGCCCUCUUCCACGGCACUGCGUGCCAUCCACACCAGCAGGACAUGAAGAGGCAGCCGGUACUAUCGACUUUGAUGAGCAGCACAGUUCACAGAUUGGAAUCGAGGACCCUAUUGCAUACUGGACACAAGGCUGGAAACCCCAUAUACAUGCUUCCAUUUUGUCUUUGUGCAAGGCGUGCGGCACGGCCCUCGUCACCACCUCAGAUGGACACUUGCCAAAAUGACCUGCGUGACAGGCCACAGGAGCGAGUGAACCAGUCAGCCACUUGUACACGGGAAGCCCACAGGAAAUAUUGCGGUGUGCUCGGCAGUCUUGUUUCCUGGCGGCAGCAUCACCGCUGUGCCCGUUCGACGGUAGGGGUGCUGCUUAUUUCCAGCUAUACAAGACGUCCAGCAAAAGAAAGGCAGCAUUGCAAGUGGAGCUACAGGGCACAUCUUUGCAUCUUGCCGGAGAUGCUCGUUGCAACUCCCCUGUACACACUGCGCCUCACAGUACAUGUACAAUCAUGGAGGCGACGAUCAGCGUUAUUGUGCACUUUCAGACAACCACAAUGUCCUACAGUUAUUGCAUGGAGCAAAAAGGACCUUAACUGUGCCUUGAUUACAUCACGUCCGAGGGAAUGGCAGUAAAUACGCUUGUGAGGGAUUGUCAUUCACACGUCAAGUCUUUUCUGAAGGCCAAGUAUCCACAGGGCACCCCAUAUGACAUUGUUGUGCUGGCACCAAGAAAGAAAGUCCAAGAAGCAUCAGAUGCUGCAACUUUGAUUCAAAACCGUCAUCCGUCAUCUGUACUGGUUUGUGAGCACCAGUGACAGCGGGAAACGUCUGCUUGCAAAGCGGGAGACAGUCGUGAGGCACAUCUAAAUCUUCUAUUUUUCUGCGGUGGAAAAAUGUACCUUUCCGCAAAGUCAGAUUUACAAAUCCGCGAGAUUCCGAAGGCGAGCGAACACGAGCAAAAAAGGUGGAGCCAAUUCUCCCAAGAGCACAUACAGACUCAUCCCAUGCGUUUUCCCAGCCUUGCAUAAUUUUCAGUGCACAAAGAAAACUAGACUCCACUCAGUGAAUCUCUCUCAGCGUGUCAAAUUUCGUUUCACUGCGUCACAUUUUGCCGUGAAAAGCGGGACUGCUCAGGUUUACAUCGAUUGAAGCCCUUACGAAUAAUUCUGUAAGAUAUCGAAUAUUCUGUAGAAAACAGACAGUUCUGAGGGAAACGGCAAGUUCCAUGAGGCACGGCCAAUUCCGCCAAAUUUCGCAGAAAGCUAGGGGCUCUAGGUAUAUCGUCAAUGUCCACAGCCAUUUCAACAGCAUGCGUAUGAGCUUAGCACCACUUAAUAAGUAAGAGUAAUAAGUAAAUAGUAAGAGCUUAGCAUAGAGCACCACUGUUUCUGUGGUGAUCUAGUUGAAAGGAAAUAACUUCAGGAAGGUGAUUCAUUGUUUCAUCUAUUGCAUCAAGUGUAAUAAAGCUAUAUGGUUUUGGUGGUGCUCUACCUAUUUAACUUUUUACAGUUGUCGUUAAAGUUAUGCGUGUCUUCCCACUGGUUGUUUGCUUCAUUCCUUUCAGCAUAUCAAAUUCACGCAGCAUGAAAAAAGUGCGAAGCAAUAAGUAUGGAAGAAACUAUGACA
Ornithodoros turicata is the source of this 2446-nucleotide long non-coding RNA. RefSeq lists it as uncharacterized. NCBI's taxonomy places the organism in Eukaryota, Metazoa, Arthropoda, Arachnida, Ixodida, Argasidae. The transcript is spliced from 7 exons. The record is from RefSeq and is a predicted model, not a curated record.